RNAcentral lists this long non-coding RNA (263 nucleotides) under Ananas comosus (pineapple). RNAcentral describes it as "long non-coding RNA (ACOM_LNC014411)". Lineage: Eukaryota; Viridiplantae; Streptophyta; Magnoliopsida; Poales; Bromeliaceae. The record is from RNAcentral.
GUAGUUCCAAGAAGCAGCAGUGUGAAAAGUUUUUUUUUUUUUGAGAGAUAGGUAUAACACGCAAUCCACUUCGUUUAUUUCAUAUAGAAAUAAACUUAGCUGGAAAUGUGAAUCAAUUAGGAUUCGAACUUGGGGCCUCGAGUACCAACCAUCAAGUCCUUUGCCACUUACUUUAGGGACGUUCAUUGGUAGUAGUGUGAAAAGUUAAAAGUCAUAAUUAGAUACAUGUGAAAUAGAGUAUUUAGAUUUAUGUUUUGUAUCAU